UCCGUGCCAGCAGCCGCGGUAAUACGGAGGGUGCGAGCGUUAAUCGGAAUUACUGGGCGUAAAGGGUGCGUAGGUGGUUUGAUAAGUUAUCUGUGAAAUUCCUGGGCUUAACCUGGGCUGGUCAGAUAAUACUGUUUGACUCGAGUAUGGGAGAGGGUAGUGGAAUUUCCGGUGUAGCGGUGAAAUGCGUAGAGAUCGGAAGGAACACCAGUGGCGAAGGCGGCUACCUGGCCUAAUACUGACACUGAGGCACGAAAGCGUGGGGAGCAAACAGGAUUAGAUACCCUGGUAGUCCACGCUGUAAACGAUGUCAACU
RNAcentral lists this ribosomal RNA (316 nucleotides) under uncultured Legionella sp. RNAcentral's name for it is "bacterial SSU rRNA". It matches the Rfam family "Bacterial small subunit ribosomal RNA", at positions 502 to 817 of the family's 1533-position model. Lineage: Bacteria; Pseudomonadati; Pseudomonadota; Gammaproteobacteria; Legionellales; Legionellaceae. The record is from RNAcentral.